RNAcentral lists this ribosomal RNA (250 nucleotides) under uncultured bacterium. RNAcentral describes it as "partial 16S ribosomal RNA". It matches the Rfam family "Archaeal small subunit ribosomal RNA", at positions 473 to 720 of the family's 1478-position model. The record is from RNAcentral.
ACACCGGCGGCCCCGAGUGGUGAUCGUGAUCAUUUGGGUCUAAAGGGUCCGUAGCCGGUUUGGUCAGUCCUCCGGGAAAUCUGACAGCUCAACUGUUAGGCUUUCGGGGGAUACUGCCAGACUUGGAACCGGGAGAGGUAAGAGGUACUACAGGGGUAGGAGUGAAAUCUUGUAAUCCCUGUGGGACCACCUGUGGCGAAGGCGUCUUACCAGAACGGGUUCGACGGUGAGGGACGAAAGCUGGGGGCAC